AUGGCGCAGGUCUGGGCGGUGUUCCUGGCCGUGGGGUCGCUCGCCAUCGGCAUGCUCGGGGUGCUCGGCGUCUGGCUCUGCUACCUGUUCCAGGCCGUGGCGUUUGGCCCGCCCCCCGCCCCGCCGCCCGAGACGCCGGAGACGGUCGACGACGACGACGACAAGAACGGGCUAUCAGAGGCGGAGCUGAGGCAGCUGGGCGGUGUCGUCCAGGCGGCGACCGCGAACGGCGAGGAGGAGGAGGAGGUGCUCUGCCCUAUCUGCCUCGACGCCAUGGAGCCCGGCCGCGCCGUGCGCGUCCUCCCCGGCUGCAACCGCGCCUUCCACCAGGACUGCGUCGACCGGUGGCUGGCCAUCUCGCCGCGCUGCCCCGUGUGCAACGUCUGGGCCACGCCGCAGUCCCCGCGGGCCUCGCCGACGGCGGCCAAGACUGCUCCGGGUCCAGGGUGCUGA
Molecule: ribosomal RNA, 453 nt
Filed under: Triticum aestivum (bread wheat)
Lineage: Eukaryota; Viridiplantae; Streptophyta; Magnoliopsida; Poales; Poaceae
Description: partial small subunit ribosomal RNA
Source: RNAcentral